ACUCAAAUGAAUUGACGGGGACCCGCACAAGCGGUGGAGCAUGUGGUUUAAUUCGACGCAACGCGAAGAACCUUACCUGGACUAGAAUGUGAGGGAAUGUCGGGUAAUGCCGGCAGUCCGGGAAACCGGACCCAAAACAAGGUGCUGCAUGGCUGUCGUCAGCUCGUGUCGUGAGAUGUUGGGUUAAGUCCCGCAACGAGCGCAACCCUUAUCAACAGUUGCCAUCAUUAAGUUGGGAACUCUGUUGAGACUGCCGUUGAUAAAACGGAGGAAGGUGGGGAUGAUGUCAAGUCAUCAUGGCCUUUAUGUUCAGGGCUACACACGUGCUACAAUGGACGGUACAAAACGUCGCAAUCUCGUAAGAGGGAGCUAAUCGCGAAAACCGUUCUCAGUUCGGAUUGAAGUCUGCAACUCGACUUCAUGAAGUUGGAAUCGCUAGUAAUCGCAAAUCAGCAUGUUGCGGUGAAUACGUUCCCGGGUCUUGUACACACCGCCCGU
This 498-nucleotide ribosomal RNA is filed under the name uncultured bacterium. RNAcentral describes it as "partial 16S ribosomal RNA". It matches the Rfam family "Bacterial small subunit ribosomal RNA", at positions 899 to 1397 of the family's 1533-position model. The record is from RNAcentral.